RNAcentral lists this unclassified non-coding RNA (250 nucleotides) under plant metagenome. RNAcentral describes it as "partial contains small subunit ribosomal RNA, internal transcribed spacer 1, and 5.8S ribosomal RNA". The stretch from base 193 to 250 matches the Rfam family "5.8S ribosomal RNA", at positions 1 to 55 of the family's 154-position model. The record is from RNAcentral.
GUAGGUGAACCUGCGGAAGGAUCAUUAGUGAAUUAAACAUGCUUGGUGUCUUCGCUUCGGCAAGGCCCUUGCUUAACUCACAUCCCAACACCUGUGAACUGUAAGGCGCAUGACUAGGUUCGCCCAAGUCAUCGUCUGCCCUUUUUAACAAACAAUUAAUGUAACAAACGUAGUCUUAUUAUAACCUAAUAAAACUUUCAACAACGGAUCUCUUGGCUCUCGCAUCGAUGAAGAACGCAGCAUCUGACUG